GUGAUAUUGCUGCUACUACCGUAUACUGAAUACAAUCCAUUGUGUAGUGAAUAUUCUUCGGUGUGACUAAACACAUACACACAUAUAAAAAAAAGUCACACUUGAGUGUAAAAAGAAUGUUAUCUGAUGCCUACAGCCAACAAGGAAGUGUAGACGUCUAUGCAGAUUUAAAAGCGAUAUAAAAGAGGGCUGAAUUUAUCACAAUGAAAAUAACUCACAAGAUAUUACUUCAAUUAGCAGUAUUUACAGCACUUCAUCGUUCUACAAAUUCUUUCACGUGGUUCGAAGCACAGACAGUCUGCAGAGAAAGGAACCAGACUCUAACGUUACAGUCUAAUGAGUCUAAAAGCUUUUAUUGGACGGGAUUUCACAAGAGAUUGUCUCAUUGGAUCCAGAUAAUUGGUUGUUAUAAUGCAUCGACAAUAGAAUGUGAGAUAUAUACUGAAUUGCCACUAUUUUCACCCCCACUUUGUCAGAAAUUUUGUCUCCAAAAAGAAAUUUACUUAUUCGCCGUUCAGAGAAAUACAUGCCUGUGCCUUCAUGCUAAGGAUUUUGACGACAAAAAAAAACCAAUUAAAUCCAUCAAAGUGUGCAUACACUUGUGACGAAACAACACUGUUGUCAACAGAGUGUGGAGGAGAACUAGCGUUUAAUGUAUUUCUUACAGGUUUAAUUGAUGCUAUUUCACUUUAAAUCUUAAAGAUUUUUUCAAAAUGUACAGGUUGUAAAUAACUUUUCUUUUGAAUCAUUAUGCAUAUGUACAUAUUUGAGCACUAUAGAAAUUUCGAGAUGUAUAGAUUAAUUAACAUUGGUUGUAUUCGUUUUGUUGGUACAAUGUAAAUAGGUCAUAACAGCAUUUAAGCUUUAUUUGUAUUUUUGUAAUUCAUGCAAUUCAUAACAUACUUGUUUUAUCAUUAAUAGAUACAACGAUUUUAGGAAUUCAAACUCGUUGUAUUUCUUUACAAUGCGGCGCUGCCCAAAUAUUUGAUGACUUAAAUUGUGCGAAGGAUUUGUCUGUAAUUUGCAGAACCAGUACAUUAGGCAAGUACAUUCGUUAUUUUUUUUUUGUGUAUCGGGGUUGAUAAAUUUAAAUUUUGUAUAUUCAUGGUAUGUAUGGAAGCUUUUCUAAAAUUAUUAAGAAGUUUUCUUUCUAGAAACAAAUUAAAAUUGUUUGAUUGUUUCGCUUGUUUUAUCAAUUUUAUUAUUAAUUUGAUGAAUUUAAUAGCAGAUAAAUAUAUGAACUGGACAGAUAGCCUGGACUAUUGUAAAGAGAAUGAUAAUUACCCUUUUGGGAACAUUAACUUAUCAAAUGUAAGUGCCUCAUGUACCGGUUUUAACCAUACCAAUCAACGUUGGAUCGGAGUAGUUAAAGAAGAUUUUGUGUUGACAGAUGACGGUGAGGUGAUUACCGAAAGUGAUCAGCAUUACUUCUACCUUUGUAUGAAAU
This is an RNA transcript of Magallana angulata, 1447 nucleotides long. RefSeq lists it as uncharacterized. The transcript is spliced from 6 exons. The record is from RefSeq and is a predicted model, not a curated record. NCBI's taxonomy places the organism in Eukaryota, Metazoa, Mollusca, Bivalvia, Ostreida, Ostreidae.